Molecule: non-coding RNA, 65 nt
Organism: Dipodomys ordii (Ord's kangaroo rat)
Lineage: Eukaryota; Metazoa; Chordata; Mammalia; Rodentia; Heteromyidae
Source: Rfam
GGUGGCUCAGUGGUAGGGUGCUUGCCUUGCAUGCAUGAGGCCCUGGGUUUGAUUCCCCAGCACCA